CAUGGUCUAUACCCUGAAUGCACGCAAUCUCAUCUGAUUUCAGAAGCUAAGCAGGGUCGGGCCUGGUUAGUACUUGGAUGGGAAACCAGUGUAUGCAGGUUGUAACCAUUA
Ribosomal RNA from Cavia porcellus (domestic guinea pig), 111 nucleotides. Lineage: Eukaryota; Metazoa; Chordata; Mammalia; Rodentia; Caviidae. The record is from Ensembl.